GAGGGAGGAUGCAAGCGGUAUCAGGAAUGAUUGGGCGUAAAGAGUUCGCAGGUGGCUGUUCAAGUCUGCUGUCAAAGAACGGGGCUUAACCCUAGAAAGGCAGUGGAAUCUGAACGGCUGGAGUGCAGUAGGUGUAGAGGGAAUUCCCAGUGUAGCGGUGAAAUGCGUAGAGAUUGGGAAGAACACCGGUGGCGAAAGCGCUCUGCUGGACUGCAACUGACACUGAGGGACGAAAGCUAGGGGAGCGAAAGGG
This 253-nucleotide ribosomal RNA is filed under the name uncultured bacterium. RNAcentral describes it as "partial 16S ribosomal RNA". It matches the Rfam family "Bacterial small subunit ribosomal RNA", at positions 524 to 776 of the family's 1533-position model. The record is from RNAcentral.